UACGAAGGGGGCGAGCGUUGUUCGGAAUUACUGGGCGUAAAGGGCGCGCAGGCGGCUCUGAAAGUCAGAUGUGAAAGCCCCGGGCUUAACCUGGGAAUUGCAUUUGAUACUCUGGAGCUUGAGUACGGGAGAGGAGAGUGGAAUUCCCAGUGUAGAGGUGAAAUUCGUAGAUAUUGGGAAGAACGCCGGUGGCGAAGGCGGCUCUCUGGACCGUAACUGACGCUGAGGCGCGAAAGCGUGGGGAGCAAACAGG
This 253-nucleotide ribosomal RNA is filed under the name uncultured bacterium. RNAcentral describes it as "partial 16S ribosomal RNA". It matches the Rfam family "Bacterial small subunit ribosomal RNA", at positions 524 to 776 of the family's 1533-position model. The record is from RNAcentral.